Molecule: ribosomal RNA, 497 nt
Filed under: uncultured bacterium
Lineage: Bacteria
Description: partial 16S ribosomal RNA
Rfam family: Bacterial small subunit ribosomal RNA
Source: RNAcentral
GAUGAACGCUGGCGGCGUGCCUAAUACAUGCAAGUCGAGCGAACAGACGAGGAGCUUGCUCCUUUGACGUUAGCGGCGGACGGGUGAGUAACACGUGGGUAACCUACCUAUAAGACUGGGAUAACUUCGGGAAACCGGAGCUAAUACCGGAUAAUAUUUCGAACCGCAUGGUUCGAUAGUGGAAGAUGGCUCUGCUAUCACUUAUAGAUGGACCUGCGCCGUAUUAGCUAGUUGGUAAGGUAACGGCUUACCAAGGCAACGAUACGUAGCCGACCUGAGAGGGUGAUCGGCCACACUGGAACUGAGACACGGUCCAGACUCCUACGGGAGGCAGCAGUAGGGAAUCUUCCGCAAUGGGCGAAAGCCUGACGGAGCAACGCCGCGUGAGUGAUGAAGGUCUUCGGAUCGUAAAACUCUGUUAUUAGGGAAGAACAAACGUGUAAGUAACUGUGCACGUCUUGACGGUACCUAAUCAGAAAGCCACGGCUAACUACGUG